UCGAGAGUUUGAUCCUGGCUCAGAUUGAACGCUAGCGGCAGGCUUAACACAUGCAAGUCGAGGGGUAUAGUUCUUCGGAGCUAGAGACCGGCGCACGGGUGCGUAACGCGUAUGCAAUCUACCUUUUACAGAGGGAUAGCCCAGAGAAAUUUGGAUUAAUACCUCAUAGUAUGUGAGAAUCGCAUGGUUUAAUAACUAAAGUUCCAACGGUAUAAGAUGAGCAUGCGUCCCAUUAGCUAGAUGGUAAGGUAACGGCUUACCAUGGCGACGAUGGGUAGGGGUCCUGAGAGGAGACUCCCCCGACACUGGUACUGAGACACGGACCAGACU
This 330-nucleotide ribosomal RNA is filed under the name uncultured Flavobacterium sp. RNAcentral's name for it is "bacterial SSU rRNA". It matches the Rfam family "Bacterial small subunit ribosomal RNA", at positions 1 to 337 of the family's 1533-position model. Lineage: Bacteria; Pseudomonadati; Bacteroidota; Flavobacteriia; Flavobacteriales; Flavobacteriaceae. The record is from RNAcentral.